AGAAAGGCGGAGGACUUUUUGGAAAAUAAAAUUACAAAAGCAAAAAAUUUAAAAAAAAAAAAAAUUUCCUUCAGCAACCAAGACAGUCAAACCCAGCGAAGUCCGUUCUGAGCGAAGCCCCCUGCCACCCCCAAAUAGACAGGCUUGGUGUUUCAUUUCUUGAACUCAGGGGAGCUGAUGAGCAUUGCUGAGGUGCUAAGAAGACCCGGGGUUGGGGGUUUGUUGGAAAUCUCUUUUUCAACCUUUCCUGCCAAUGGGCCCUGUGGCCUCUGACCUCCUGGGGAGGGGAGGGGGGGUCUCACACUCACAGCAAAGGAAGAGGCCUAGGGGACAGAGAGGCUGGCUGUUGGCCUUCCCGUGAGGUAACAGAUUUUAAAAUAUCUCCAUGAGGUUUCGUCUUACCCAGCUUGCACUGACUUAAGGAAAAUAAUCUUCCCAGCCCGGCGCAAACCUCAGAACUCUCUAACAGUUGCUCUUGAUCUGACGGAUACGGAGAGAGGAAAAAGCCUUGCAAAGAGACAUUGGGGUGAUGCGUCUCCCCGCCAUCUACACAGCUUCCAUGCACAGCGAAGAGAGAAGAGACCAUCUGGAUGUGGUUUCACAGACGAGAUGAAAGCACUCUGCAGACAGCCCUUGUAAAGCCACAGCCCACCCACCCGACCACAGAUAAGCUGGAUUUUUUAAGUCCAUGUUAAAAGAAUCACAGGGAUCCCAUUCCUUUUUCCUCCUCA
Erinaceus europaeus (western European hedgehog) is the source of this 731-nucleotide long non-coding RNA. RefSeq lists it as uncharacterized. The transcript is spliced from 2 exons. Lineage: Eukaryota; Metazoa; Chordata; Mammalia; Eulipotyphla; Erinaceidae. The record is from RefSeq and is a predicted model, not a curated record.